AUUCAUCUUCAGGGGCAGGGCGUAAAUCCCGACCGGUGGUAAAGUCCACGAGCGAAAUUUUUAUUUUGCUGAACUGGUGUGAUUCCAGUACCGACAGUAUAGUCUGGUAUAAAGAAGAUGGAG
This 123-nucleotide non-coding RNA is filed under the name Marinilactibacillus sp. 15R. RNAcentral describes it as "FMN riboswitch aptamer (RFN element)". It matches the Rfam family "FMN riboswitch aptamer (RFN element)". From Rfam's summary of the family: The RFN element is a highly conserved domain that is found frequently in the 5'-untranslated regions of prokaryotic mRNAs that encode for flavin mononucleotide (FMN) biosynthesis and transport proteins. This element is a metabolite-dependent riboswitch that directly binds FMN in the absence of proteins. The record is from Rfam by way of RNAcentral. RNAcentral also lists the same sequence under 1 other name. Lineage: Bacteria; Bacillati; Bacillota; Bacilli; Lactobacillales; Carnobacteriaceae.